GGGGCAGGAGACCGGAGGGAGUUGAGGUUUUGCACCCGAUAAGGAGACGCAUAAAGGGAACGGGUGGGGACACAGGGCCCCUGCAGCCUCAGGAGGAUCAGCAGUGGCCUGGUUUACUCGUGUCGUCAUUCGUCGUGGGCACCUUGUCCCCGGGGCCGGCCAGUUACUUGGCCUCCUGGCUCAUCAUCCUGCCGGAAGCAUCUCCAGCUUGGGGAUGUUGGAGGGUCCCUGGCCCCACCUGGCUGGGGAUGGAGUGUAAGCCGAGGAGAUGCCAUGUGAGGGUGCAGCGAGGAGUUGGGCUGUCUAAAAGCAAAGAAAGAGAUUGCAUCAGACACCGCAUCUGCUGACACCUUGUUCUUGGACUUCCAGCUUCCAAAACCGCGAGAAAUAAAUGUCUGUGUCUAAACCCCAACCCUACCACCUCAACUGCCGUGUGUGGUGUUUUGUGAUGGCAGCCCCAGCUGACUGAGACACCUGGUUAGACCGGAAUAAGCAGUACCUGAGUCCCUUAAGAGUGGCCAAAGAAGAAAGAAUCCACUGAGUUGACAUUCCAGUUCAGCUGCAAUCGGUAGCAGUCACCAUUGAACAUCCUUGAAGCAAUUCUUCCAAAAUUACCUUGCAUCAAAGACUGCACAAGAACUGCUCUAAGCGGAAGGACUGAUGUCGGCAACCAGGGUUCCACCAGGGGCUGCAGACAGCCCUUGACCUUCAGGUGGGAAGGUGUCACUGAGUUCAGACCCUCUGGCAAUCCCUAGCUAUCAACAUUUUGAUAAGAAAAUAAGUGGAAAGGUAGAACUGGAAGAUUUUGCUGAAAGAUUGGACAUGGCAUUCAGAGAAACAGAGGUUUUAAUGACAAACUCCAAGUUUUUGGCUGGAGCAACUGGAAGAAUGAGGUUGCCAUGAACCGAAAAGAGAGAUUGCAGAAGUAACCAAAUUUACUCACGUAGGCCAGGAAUUUCUAUGACGUGUUCCAAAUUCAGCCUCUCACUGAACACUUCCAGAGCAAGGCAACAUAAACAUCUGCAAGAAGAACAUUGUGUGAGAAAUAUCAAGUGAGAGUGGAAGAGUCUGCGGAGGGCCUCCCUGGGGCUCACCUGUGCUUUUGCCUGAGCUUCACCGUGUCAAGGAUGCAGCACUUUUUCCCUCUGGAGGAAGCAGCUUUCACCUUGGAAGAAUCUUGACCUUGCCAUUCAAAGUCACCAGACAGGGAAUCUGCCAGUGCCUUGAUCUUAGACUUCCCAGCUUCUGUAACUGUGAGCAAUAAAUGUAUGCUGCUUAUAAACUA
RNAcentral lists this long non-coding RNA (1285 nucleotides) under Homo sapiens (human). RNAcentral describes it as "HSALNT0338180". Lineage: Eukaryota; Metazoa; Chordata; Mammalia; Primates; Hominidae. The record is from RNAcentral.